This 1924-nucleotide long non-coding RNA is filed under the name Olea europaea subsp. europaea. The record is from RNAcentral. Lineage: Eukaryota; Viridiplantae; Streptophyta; Magnoliopsida; Lamiales; Oleaceae.
GCCAAUGUGGGGCGCAAGAGGAAUUGAUGUUAAGGUGGUGGCAGCUGACCCUUGGGUCAAUUCCCACCAUGUCUUCGUGUUCCCAGGCGAAGACAUCCAGUUCUUUUUCAAGUUGUUUAUCAUUUCUUCUUUCAUCUCGAGGGGUAUCGUUUUCCUAAUCCGCAAGACCUGAGUGAGGUUUUCAGGGUUGGUGGGGAAAGUUUCUAAUUCUUCCAUUGGGGUCGCAUUUGGUUUGGAUUCGAUGAUUCGAGGAUUCAACUCAUUAAAAGGGUGCCCUUCUUUAGGAGCCUCUACCAUGUCGAUGUCUUCCUCCUGUUCAGAGGUAUGCCCUUGUUAAGGGGCGUCGGGCAUUUCUAUGUCCACGUCGGAUCCGUUGGUGACCUCUGUUAGGAUGACAUUAACAAUGUCGGGUUCGGAUUUUCACAGAGAGUUGAGUUAACAUACCCUUGAGCCCAUUUGGUCACCUCGAAAUGUAGCAAUCCCAUGAUCAGUUGGGAAUUUUAUACACAAGUAAUGGAUGGAUGUAACUGUGCAAAGAUCUUUUAGGGCAGGUCGGCCCAAAACUCCAUGGUAAGCUGAUCUGUGGUCAACCACUGGGAACUCCAUGAAGUGGUGGGCCACUAGGAAGAUGACCCCAUCUCGACAGGUAGAGUAAUUCGCCAUCGUGGGACGAUGUUGUCGCCAGUAAAUCCAAAUAGUGGGUCAGUCAUGGGGAUCAACCUAUGUUCAAUCUGCAUUUUAUCGAAGGUGGACUCGAACAGUAUAUUCACCAUGCUGUCAUUGUCGACGAGUAUGCGUUUGAUUCUGUUUCAAGCUACUACGGCUCUUACCACUACGCAUCGCAAUGGGGAUAGUGGGCUCCUUGCGCAUCUUCUUGAGAGAAAGUGAUUGGGGUCAUCCUGUUGGCCUUUUGGGUAUGAUUGACAAUGUAGUGGGAUCAUUGGUGGAUCCUUUUCUUUCCUUGUGUAGUUCCUCUGGGCGUUCAUAGUGUUGCCCCCGAUGUGAAGCCUCCAAUGAUUGUAUCAGUUUUCCUGAUAACUUGGCCUCCAAAUGGGGCCUGAUCCCUAUGCCUGGAUUCUCCUCUGUCCCCGGAUUCUUUUCUCCAGGGCGAUUGGUCCCUAUAUUGCAUUUUUCCCUAUUCGGAGAGUUAGACCUGCAGGGGCAUUCAUCCCUUCGUGGGUUACUCCGGUUCGAGGAUCGAGGAGCAUCCCUACAUUUGCUAGUGUCAUGUCCGUAAAGUUGGUGAAAGGUGUAGAACCUUGCCCCCUCCAGGGGCUUGUUUGAUCACUUCUUCUUCUUCUUUCGAUUGUUGUUUGUUUCCUCGGAUGGUCCUGCUUCGGCAGGAACAUUUUCAUAUGCUAGUACUGGCACUGCAUUUAGAUUGGCUGAAGCCAAUGCCUGUCCUGAUGUGAGGGCUACUGUGUGAUCGACCUGGGUCCAUUGCUAGGUAACGACGUGUGCCGCCGGUCCUCGACCUACCUGCCUCUGAGGUGGAGAGAGUCCUUGUGCUGCACGAUUUCGGUGGUCGAUUAUCUCUUCAUUGACAAUCUCCACUCUCAUCAUUUCUACCAGCUCGCCAUCGGUAGUGGGAUUCUUGCUACAUACAUCUCUUUAGAACAAAGUAUUCAUGUUGAGGCCACAUUUCAAAGCUGAAAGGGCCUCUCUGUCAGUAACUUGCAUGCAAUAUGUGAUUUCAUCGGUGAAUCUGGCGAGAUAGCUCUUCAGCGUCUCGCCAGGGGCUUGCCUCAUAUCUUGCAUACGUUGCACUGGGGUCUCUCUUUCCUUUUGUAAAAGGUAUUAGUUCAAAAAUGCCUUCUUCAAGUCUAGCCAGCUUCUGAUGCUUAGGGGCGGUAACCAGCUGUAUCACACUUCAACAGCUCUGGUGAGGGUUAGAUGGAAGGCUCUACAUUUCAGUAUUAGUGAG